AUACCCUAAAGCAAUGAGUGGGGAAGACAAUGAGGAGUAAAAAUGGUAGAGAACCGGACGCGAGAAAAAAACUUACCUGGACUGGACGGAGUCAACUCAGGAUCAAGAAAACGAGUGGCCUAGGCUAGUGACUUGCUUAGCCUAAGAUCUUCCCAAGUGGAAGAGCCUAUGUACGUCAUUGUUUGUGGAAGAUGGGGUUUGGGUUCGCGCAGCCCCUAUCAUCUAUAUCAGUCAUAAUAAUUACAUAUGUUCCAUAAUAAGAUAAGUUUGGUGGUGUUGUCUAAAUAAGUGUGGAGAGUAACAGUUUCCUGAUUUAUUAGUUUGGUACCAGUGGUCCUACAUCGGAAAUAGAUACCAAGUUUGUAACGAUGUAUGUUUAUUACUUUGUUAUGUUUUGAUAUGUUUUGUUUGGCCGUAUAAAUAAAGAGGCUAACCUUCCUUGAAACUCAUCUUUGCGCUUGGGGCAAUGACAUAGCUAAUGAGGUUUUAAACGAGACGCGUCUAUUGAUGGUUGACAACCAUUUCCACAACCCCAUCCUAGGCCUAAGCUUGUCUUUGGCCUUUGAGAAUUUCGAGACCAACACUAGAGUACACUUUAUAACCUCUCAAGUUCCUGGUUAUAAACUUAAAUUUCCAGGAUUUGGGACACUUAAGUAACUCAGUCACUUCGCACAUACCAUUCAAGCGGAUAUAAUCUGGAUUUAUUGGCUUCUCAUAGUCCCAACCAUGCAUCUCUAACUCAAUCCCUGUCUUUUUGAUAUAGGAAACUAGGCAUUGAUAUAUGGUUAGAUACGUGGCAAUACAUGAGUGGAGACAGUAGCUGUGAGACGUGGCAAGAGAAGAUUGGUCGAUGGGAGUGUUAGAGGAAGAAUCGAGAUGCAGAGAUAUAUAGCUAAUGAAGAUCAUUUGCAGAAGAUAAGAAGAUUUUGGAUUUGUUGUUUAUAGUUUCCUUUUGGAUUCUCUCUUAGAAUCGUUCCUCAUCGUUCGCCGGAGUUUCAUGUUGAACUCUUGUAGAUGAGAAGUUGAUAUCGCGUUUCAUGAACGUUGUAUCAAUCUGUCAUUUUCAUUAAUCGAAGCAUUCUAUUUCGUUACUCUGUUUUCCGUUAUCACUUUUGAUUAAAACCAGAAUCCACUUGACUUAUCUCAUGAAGUUGCUUAAUGAUCAUUCCUCUCUGAGAUUAUAUUGUUCAUUUUGUGGUAGACGUGGCAG
RNAcentral lists this small RNA (1210 nucleotides) under Arabidopsis thaliana (thale cress). RNAcentral describes it as "putative long intergenic non-coding RNA". The stretch from base 449 to 591 matches the Rfam family "U4 spliceosomal RNA". Lineage: Eukaryota; Viridiplantae; Streptophyta; Magnoliopsida; Brassicales; Brassicaceae. The record is from RNAcentral.